GACGAACGCUGGCGGCGUGCUUAACACAUGCAAGUCGAACGGAAAGGCCCUGCUUUUGUGGGGUGCUCGAGUGGCGAACGGGUGAGUAACACGUGAGUAACCUGCCCUUGACUUUGGGAUAACUUCAGGAAACUGGGGCUAAUACCGGAUAGGAGCUCCUGCUGCAUGGUGGGGGUUGGAAAGUUUCGGCGGUUGGGGAUGGACUCGCGGCUUAUCAGCUUGUUGGUGGGGUAGUGGCUUACCAAGGCUUUGACGGGUAGCCGGCCUGAGAGGGUGACCGGCCACAUUGGGACUGAGAUACGGCCCAGACUCCUACGGGAGGCAGCAGUGGGGAAUAUUGCACAAUGGGCGGAAGCCUGAUGCAGCAACGCCGCGUGCGGGAUGACGGCCUUCGGGUUGUAAACCGCUUUCGCCUGUGACGAAGCGUGAGUGACGGUAAUGGGUAAAGAAGCACCGGCUAACUACGUGCCAGCAGCCGCGGUGAUACGUAGGGUGCGAGCGUUGUCCGGAUUUAUUGGGCGUAAAGGGCUCGUAGGUGGUUGAUCGCGUCGGAAGUGUAAUCUUGGGGCUUAACCCUGAGCGUGCUUUCGAUACGGGUUGACUUGAGGAAGGUAGGGGAGAAUGGAAUUCCUGGUGGAGCGGUGGAAUGCGCAGAUAUCAGGAGGAACACCAGUGGCGAAGGCGGUUCUCUGGGCCUUUCCUGACGCUGAGGAGCGAAAGCGUGGGGAGCGAACAGGCUUAGAUACCCUGGUAGUCCACGCUGUAAACGGUGGGUACUAGGUGUGGGGUCCAUUCCACGGGUUCCGUGCCGUAGCUAACGCUUUAAGUACCCCGCCUGGGGAGUACGGCCGCAAGGCUAAAGCUCAAAGGAAUUGACGGGGCCCCGCACAAGCGGCGGAGCAUGCGGAUUAAUUCGAUGCAACGCGUAGAACCUUACCUGGGUUUGACAUGGAUCGGGAGUGCUCAGAGAUGGGUGUGCCUCUUUUGGGGUCGGUUCACAGGUGGUGCAUGGCUGUCGUCAGCUCGUGUCGUGAGAUGUUGGGUUAAGUCCCGCAACGAGCGCAACCCUUGUUCACUGUUGCCAGCACGUUAUGGUGGGGACUCAGUGGAGACCGCCGGGGUCAACUCGGAGGAAGGUGGGGAUGACGUCAAGUCAUCAUGCCCCUUAUGUCCAGGGCUUCACGCAUGCUACAAUGGCUGGUACAGAGAGUGGCGAGCCUGUGAGGGUGAGCGAAUCUCGGAAAGCCGGUCUCAGUUCGGAUUGGGGUCUGCAACUCGACCUCAUGAAGUCGGAGUCGCUAGUAAUCGCAGAUCAGCAACGCUGCGAUGAAUACGUUCCCGGG
RNAcentral lists this ribosomal RNA (1343 nucleotides) under uncultured bacterium. RNAcentral describes it as "16S ribosomal RNA". It matches the Rfam family "Bacterial small subunit ribosomal RNA", at positions 28 to 1378 of the family's 1533-position model. The record is from RNAcentral.